GUGACGGCGUCGGCGGAGCGCGAUGUGACGAUGAAAUAUGAACUGUUUUAUUGCCUCUAAGAAGCUCCGAACACACUACCAAUCCACCUGUCGCCGAGAUGACGACCUCAUCAAGGUUUAAAACAGAAUUUACCGGUAAUUUAUGUAGGAUCGACUGUAGCCAAUUUCCGCUAUUAAGAAGACAGCAUGCGGCAGUGGCACAGGGCACACAGAAAUGGCGGGAUUUGGUGGAGGCACACAGAUAAAAAGAAACAUAAAUGUAUUAUAAUGUAUCUAGUAUAAAUAAGAGAGCAGAAAUCAAAGACUUUAUUAUGAUUAUAAUUAUUGUCUUAGAAAACCCGUUGUCCGCAAAGUAGUGUAAUAUACUAGCUGAUCCUGCGAGCUUCGUAGCGUAACAGUCAAUGUCGUGUUUUAGACUAGCCGAAUAUAUUGUACGAUUUUAUUAAAGUAAUACAAUGAAUACAAAUAAAUAUUAUGUUUACGAAUAACGAAUUGCAAUACUCAACGUUACAAUGAGCCUUGA
Pieris brassicae (large cabbage white) is the source of this 523-nucleotide long non-coding RNA. RefSeq lists it as uncharacterized. The record is from RefSeq and is a predicted model, not a curated record. The transcript has 3 exons. Lineage: Eukaryota; Metazoa; Arthropoda; Insecta; Lepidoptera; Pieridae.